AUCCGCAACCAAAAAAGGAAUUUCUGUUCUUAGUCAACAAGAUUCUCCUUUGGACGACUAACUUUGGAGGUUACAAAGCAGAUAUGAGCAUUGAGUUAUUGAAGGUCAAUUAACAUGCUUACCGAAAAAAAAAAAAAGUUUUCUUGUCAUUAUAGAGAGAAUAGUAGAUUUAGUGACUAUUGGUCUUAAUCGGUAUGAUAUUUAUUAGUUUUGGUAUUUUUCUCAGCUCAACAGCAAUGGCUGCAUCACCCAACAAGUACAAGCAAACAUGCUCCAGAUUAAAAAUACAGGCUUUGAAAUGAAGCUCCGAGUGGAAGCCAGGAUCAGAGAAGAGGGAACAGAUGUGGUAGUCACUGCAAAUGGGAUCAGUGAAAUCACAAACGUUGCAUCCAAACUCAUAUUCGUGAAAGUGGAUUCACACUUUAGACGAGGAAUCCCCUUUUUUGGACAGGUGCUUCUGGUGGAUGGGAAAGGUGUGCCCAUCCCCAAUAAACUCAUCUUCAUCUCUGCGAAUGAAGCCAAUUAUCACUUUAAUACAACCACCAAUGAACAGGGUCUUGUACAGUUUC
Molecule: long non-coding RNA, 569 nt
Filed under: Aotus nancymaae (Ma's night monkey)
Lineage: Eukaryota; Metazoa; Chordata; Mammalia; Primates; Aotidae
Description: lncRNA (ENSANAG00000039045.1)
Source: RNAcentral